This is a long non-coding RNA of Arachis ipaensis, 1357 nucleotides long. RefSeq lists it as uncharacterized. The record is from RefSeq and is a predicted model, not a curated record. NCBI's taxonomy places the organism in Eukaryota, Viridiplantae, Streptophyta, Magnoliopsida, Fabales, Fabaceae.
UUUUUUGGGAAUUAAUAAUAUACAAAACUCCUUGUUUUGGUGUUUAUUUAUUUAAUGUUAAGUAGGUGUUUAGCGUGUAAUUAGCUAAUUAAGAAUCAUGUCGAGGCCCUGAGUGGAGCUUUGAGCAGGAUAAAGCAUUUGAGAAUGCCUUGGGUACUUACCCUGAGGACGAUCCGGAUCGAUGGGAGAAGAUUGCUGCCGAUGUAAUUGGGAAGACUUUGGAAGAGGUUAAACAACACUAUGAGCUUCUGGUUGAUGAUGUCAACUUAAUUGAAUCUGGGCGUGUGACUCUACCGACUUAUAAUUCUACUUUAGAAGGCUCAACAGGCAAUGCUAGUGAUGAAGGAGCUGGCAAGAAGGGUGGCCAACCUUAGAAUUCGAACAACGAGUCUAAUAAUGGAUCUAAGGCUUCAAGAUCAGAUCAGGAACGUCAUAAGGGUAUUGCUUGGACAGAAGAUGAACACAGGAACCAAGCAAGGCUACAGAGAAAUCUAAUGUACCUAGCAGCAAUAUAUGAUUCUCAACCAUAACCACAUUUUAUUGGACUGCUCCCCAAAUUCUGCUUGUUGCCGCUACCGAUAAUCCUCAUUUUAGCAACUGUUUGAACUUCAAAACAAUUAGUCAUGGAUAAGAGUUGGAUGCUCAAACCGCGAACUUCUAAGAAGUACUGCAUUAUAGAAAAACAAUGAAAAGGACACUACAUUUAUGAAAAGGGUAGCAAGCCAAAACCCGAUCUUUCAAUACUACCAAUUGUUGAAGAGUUGAGAAGACUUGCCAAUAUUAUGCCUGGUGGAAAGCCUAUAUCUAUUACUGACCAAGAGAUUGUAGAGAUGAUACUCUUUCCAAUAGUGAACGAGGCAUGCCAUGUUUUAUAUGAAGGAAUGGUUAUUCAAGCAUCAGACCUCGACAUUGCUUGUGUUCUUGGGAUGAGCUUCCCUAGUUACAGCUUUUUGGUUGGGGCAAAGCAUGUAUAUAACAGCCUAAAGAAAUGGUCAGAAUUAUAUGGUAACUUCUAUAAGCCAUCAAGGUAUAUGGAGGAAAGGGCAAUUCAGGGCAUUCCUUUGUUAAGACUUUAUAUCUGUUAUUUUCUAUUUGAAUUUUAUGGAACUUAGUAUUUUCAAUUUCCUUUGUACAUGAGAAAAAAAAUGUUAAAUUGACAUAGUUACCUUAGGAUAUUUGGAUAGUUAAAGUUGAAAAACCAAGAUAACUAAGUCCUGCUUACUUUCUUGUAUGUGACUGCUUACUUCCUUUUGUACAUGAGAAAAAAAAUUGUUAAAUUUCCUUGGUGUAAGUGACUGCUUACUUUCUUGUGAAGUCCUGUAAAUGGUAACUAAUGAAAUUCAUGCUCUUCUGCCUA